GUGCCAAGUCAACUAAAGAUGACCAAAACUAAAUAGAAUUAUUAAAUAGGGUGCUACUAAAAUGGUUCCAAAAUGGUUGGCUGGCUAUACUAAUUAGAGACAGUAACUUGGACUUCUUCAAGGAAAUGCAGCUGAUCAUGUAGAUGUAGUCUUUAUCUCAGCCAUAGGUACGCAUAUAUUGCUGUACUGCUUAACUUUGCCUAAUUAAUUCGAGGUUUAUGUGAAAAUACUAAAUCUUUUAUAAUGGUAUAUAUAGGAUUAUCCCAACUAUAUUUUAAUUCAUAUUUCCAUAUUAUGAGUUAAUAUCGGAUUAUAGUUAAUUUUACAUUCCAAUUUGCUCAAAAUUGAAGGAUUUGUGUGAAAAAUAAAGGUUAAUGAGAAAAAUUAAAAGAUAUCGUUACUGUUUUAUUAUUGUUUGAUUUGUCUAUCUUGCUGUUUCUUUAGAAUUGAAUGAAAUCCAUAAUUGCUUUUGGAAAAGUAGUUGAUUUGAAAUGCAGCUCUAAACCUAACAGAAGAAAAGAAAAUUAAUAAUUGAAAGAAGGAAUUUUCUCAUGUCCAGACAAAUUGGAGCUUGGUUUAUCUGACUGCAAUGAAGACUGGGGGAAAAAUAAACACAGAUGAAGGGAGUAGCAGUACACUGUGUUGCAACUUGCAAGUGAUGUUCCAAGCAACUUGCAGACAAUUAAUUGCCUUUAUAUUUAUAAGACUGGACACUAAGAAGCAGCCACAUUGUUUUUCAUCGUCAAACUAAGGUUACAUUUUUAUGUAUAGCAAUUUUAUUAUAGCCACUAAUCAUGAUAAGUUG
RNAcentral lists this unclassified non-coding RNA (805 nucleotides) under Hevea brasiliensis (rubber tree). The record is from RNAcentral. Lineage: Eukaryota; Viridiplantae; Streptophyta; Magnoliopsida; Malpighiales; Euphorbiaceae.